GAUGAACGCUGGCGGCGUGCCUAAUACAUGCAAGUCGAGCGAACAGACGAGGAGCUUGCUCCUCUGACGUUAGCGGCGGACGGGUGAGUAACACGUGGAUAACCUACCUAUAAGACUGGGAUAACUUCGGGAAACCGGAGCUAAUACCGGAUAAUAUAUUGAACCGCAUGGUUCAAUAGUGAAAGACGGUUUUGCUGUCACUUAUAGAUGGAUCCUCGCCGCAUUAGCUAGUUGGUAAGGUAACGGCUUACCAAGGCAACGAUGCGUAGCCGACCUGAGAGGGUGAUCGGACACACUGGAACUGAGACACGGUCCAGACUCCUACGGGAGGCAGCAGUAGGGAAUCUUCCGCAAUGGGCGAAAGCCUGACGGAGCAACGCCGCGUGAGUGAUGAAGGUCUUCGGAUCGUAAAACUCUGUUAUUAGGGAAGAACAAAUGUGUAAGUAACUAUGCACUUCUUGACGGUACCUAAUCAGAAAGCCACGGCUAACUACGUG
This 497-nucleotide ribosomal RNA is filed under the name uncultured bacterium. Its description in RNAcentral is "partial 16S ribosomal RNA". It matches the Rfam family "Bacterial small subunit ribosomal RNA", at positions 28 to 507 of the family's 1533-position model. The record is from RNAcentral.